RNAcentral lists this ribosomal RNA (301 nucleotides) under uncultured bacterium. RNAcentral's name for it is "partial 16S ribosomal RNA". It matches the Rfam family "Bacterial small subunit ribosomal RNA", at positions 509 to 807 of the family's 1533-position model. The record is from RNAcentral.
CAGCAGCCACGGUAAUACAGAGGGUGCGAGCGUUAAUCGGAUUUACUGGGCGUAAAGCGUGCGUAGGCGGCUUUUUAAGUCGGAUGUGAAAUCCCUGAGCUUAACUUAGGAAUUGCAUUCGAUACUGGGAAGCUAGAGUAUGGGAGAGGAUGGUAGAAUUCCAGGUGUAGCGGUGAAAUGCGUAGAGAUCUGGAGGAAUACCGAUGGCGAAGGCAGCCAUCUGGCCUAAUACUGACGCUGAGGUACGAAAGCAUGGGGAGCAAACAGGAUUAGAGACCCGAGUAGUCCCUGUCUCUUAUAC